Molecule: non-coding RNA, 118 nt
Organism: Podarcis lilfordi (Lilford's wall lizard)
Lineage: Eukaryota; Metazoa; Chordata; Lepidosauria; Squamata; Lacertidae
Source: the annotation of a GenBank genome assembly
ACCUUAGAGACCUACUAAGUUUGUUAUUGGUAUGAGCUUUUGUGUGCAUGCACACUUCUUCAGAUACCCAUGCACACGAAAGCUCAUACCAAUAACAAAUUUAGUAGGUCUCUAAGGU